CACGUAGGCGGCUUCGCAAGUCGGAUGUGAAAUCCCUCGGCUCAACCGAGGACGGGCAUACGAAACUGCGGAGCUUGAGUGCUGAAGAGGAUCGCGGAAUUCCCGGUGUAGAGGUGAAAUUCGUAGAUAUCGGGAGGAACACCAGUGGCGAAGGCGGCGAUCUGGGCAGACACUGACGCUGAGGUGCGAAAGCGUGGGAAGCAAACA
RNAcentral lists this ribosomal RNA (207 nucleotides) under uncultured bacterium. RNAcentral's name for it is "partial 16S ribosomal RNA". It matches the Rfam family "Bacterial small subunit ribosomal RNA", at positions 568 to 774 of the family's 1533-position model. The record is from RNAcentral.